CUUUCUAAUGUCAAGUCUCCCAUAUUCGCUCCAUGCUUAAAUUUUUUCCACGGUUCAUUAAACGUAUCGUUACUUCUUAAUCUUUGAUGUUCACUAGUUUUCCCCUUAUUAAUAAAAAGAUACUAUUAUGGCACAGCUUAAAAUACGAUCUGUAAUUAGAUCUGUAUUCGUCCGUAUUUUACGUGAUCCGCCCAUAAUUAAGUCACUUCUAAUCAACGUUUUCUACUAUACUCAAAUUCCUAUAUGUUUCAACCAUUUCCCAAGCAUUCUAGGUUUUCCGUUUCUCUGUAUUGACUUUGUCUAGUUCUUAUUGGUGUACAGAUAUNAGGUCAUGUUCAUCACUAAAUUAAUUUAUAUCUUAGUAUAAUUACCUAGUUGAUGAUACAUUUUCUAUUUGUCUCGAAAAUAUAAAAAAAAAAAAAAUCAAAAAUCCAAGGUAUACUACCUGAAGAUACUUUUCAUGAUCGAUUAAAAUUCGGAUCAAAGGCUGAAAUUAAUAAUAUAAUUAUUGACCCUGCCCCCCUUAAAAAUAAUGAUACAUAUAGGACUUACUUGAGAGACACGUGUGUUAUCCAUUUUUAUAUUUCUUCUUGUUUCGGCAAUUAUCGAAGACAGUUAAGUUCAAUUACUGUAGCAUCAAGAUUCUUAACAAACGUCUUCCUUUACAUUGUCGAUUUCUUAACGGCCUUCAUGGUCAUCUUGAGACCGGCUUCCAUUUUUUUAUUCGCUUAUUGUUUUCUCAUGAUCCAAACGCCUGUUGUGCAGCCUACUGUUUAUCGUUUAUCGGAUUGAUUAGUUAUAAUAUUACUAGUUGUGUCGACCGGCGUAGCUCGUGCAAAAUAAAUGUGAAAAAAACACUACUUCCCUCUAGAUUUCUUGUUUAAAUCUCAGUCACUAUAACUGCAGUCAACUGUUGUCG
Cinara cedri is the source of this 919-nucleotide non-coding RNA. The record is from the annotation of a GenBank genome assembly. Lineage: Eukaryota; Metazoa; Arthropoda; Insecta; Hemiptera; Aphididae.